AGAUGUGUAUAAGAGACAGGGCAAAAGGUAGCUUAACUGCGAGACCGACAAGUCGAGCAGGUGCGAAAGCAGGACAUAGUGAUCCGGUGGUUCUGAAUGGAAGGGCCAUCGCUCAACGGAUAAAAGGUACUCCGGGGAUAACAGGCUGAUUCCGCCCAAGAGUCCAUAUCGACGGCGGAGUUUGGCACCUCGAUGUCGGCUCAUCACAUCCUGGGGCUGUAGUCGGUCCCAAGGGUAUGGCUGUUCGCCAUUUAAAGUGGUACGUGAGCUGGGUUUAAAACGUCGUGAGACAGUUUGGUCCCUAUCUGCAGUGGGCGUUGGAAGUUUGACGGGGGCUGCUCCUAGUACGAGAGGACCGGAGUGGACGAACCUCUGGUGUACCGGUUGUUUCGCCAGAAGCAUAGCCGGGUAGCUAAGUUCGGAAGAGAUAAGCGCUGAAAGCAUCUAAGCGCGAAACUCGCCCAAAGAUGAGACUUCCCUUGUGGUUUAACCAUACUAAAGAGUCGUUCGAGACCAGGACGUUGAUAGGUUGGGUGUGGAAGAGUGG
Molecule: ribosomal RNA, 547 nt
Filed under: Kingella kingae
Lineage: Bacteria; Pseudomonadati; Pseudomonadota; Betaproteobacteria; Neisseriales; Neisseriaceae
Description: partial 23S ribosomal RNA
Rfam family: Bacterial large subunit ribosomal RNA
Source: RNAcentral